GACGAACGCUGGCGGCGUGCUUAACACAUGCGAGUCGAACGGUGAAGCGCCUUCCUUUUUGGUGGGUGUGGAUGAGUGGCGAACGGGUGAGUAACACGUGAGUAACCUGCCCCCUUCUUCUGGAUAACCGCAUGAAAGUGUGGCUAAUACGGGAUAUUCUGGGUCUGUCGCAUGAUGGGUCUGGGAAAGAUAUUGUUUCGGUGGGGGAUGGGCUCGCGGCCUAUCAGCUUGUUGGUGGGGUGAUGGCCUACCAAGGCGGUGACGGGUAGCCGGCCUGAGGGGGUGGACGGUCACACUGGGACUGAGACACGGCCCAGACUCCUACGGGAGGCAGCAGUGGGGAAUAUUGCACAAUGGGCGCAAGCCUGAUGCAGCGACGCCGCGUGAGGGAUGGAGGCCUUCGGGUUGUGAACCUCUUUCGCCAGUGAAGCAGGCCUGCCUCGUUUGUGGGUGGGUUGACGGUAGCUGGAUAAGAAGCGCCGGCUAACUACGUG
RNAcentral lists this ribosomal RNA (494 nucleotides) under uncultured bacterium. RNAcentral's name for it is "partial 16S ribosomal RNA". It matches the Rfam family "Bacterial small subunit ribosomal RNA", at positions 28 to 507 of the family's 1533-position model. The record is from RNAcentral.